RNAcentral lists this long non-coding RNA (698 nucleotides) under Pelobates cultripes (western spadefoot toad). The record is from RNAcentral. Lineage: Eukaryota; Metazoa; Chordata; Amphibia; Anura; Pelobatidae.
CACACACACACACACACACAAUGCAUCCCUAUACACACAGAAACACAACAUGCUUCCCUUACACACAGAAAAACACACAAUGCAACCCUUACACAUAAAGACAAUGCAUCAUUUGCACAUAUACACAGAAACACACAAUGCAUUCCUUACACACACAUGCAAACACACACUGCUUCUCUUACACACACACAGAAACACAAUGCAUCUCUUACACACACUCAACGCACCCCUUACAGACACACACACUGCAUCCCUUACAUACACAGAAACACACUUUGCAUCCCUUAUGCAUACAAACACAGAUUCACACAAUGCAUCCCUUACACACAACAAGAAACACACAAUACAUCCCUUAUACACAAACACUCACUGCUUUCUAUCCCUUACACAAAAACACACUGCUUCCACUACACACAAACACACUGCAUCACCUACACAAACUGGUAUCCCUAUACACUACAUUACGUAAGCACACACAUUAGAUCCUCUACAGUAACACAUAACACAUCCCCUACACACUCCACUCCCUGUGAGCGAACUCAUGGGUGGAACAUGUAGGUGGACUUAUGGGUGGGCUUUAUGGGCAUACUCACCGUCAGGCCCUGGGGCCCAGACCUUGAGCUGUGUAAGAGGCCCCAAAAAAUGGAGCUGCUUCCCGUUCUCCCAGAACAUUGAAUUUUGUGACCACAGUUACAAAC